CCUACGGGUGGCAGCAGUGGGGAAUAUUGGACAAUGGGGGCAACCCUGAUCCAGCCAUGCCGCAUGUGUGAAGAAGGCCCUCGGGUUGUAAAGCACUUUCAGUGAGGAAGAACGCCUGGUGGUUAAUACCCAUCAGGAAAGACAUCACUCACAGAAGAAGCACCGGCUAACUCCGUGCCAGCAGCCGCGGUAAUACGGAGGGUGCGAGCGUUAAUCGGAAUUACUGGGCGUAAAGCGCGCGUAGGUGGCUUGAUAAGCCGGUUGUGAAAGCCCCGGGCUCAACCUGGGAACGGCAUCCGGAACUGUCAAGCUAGAGUGCAGGAGAGGAAGGUAGAAUUCCCGGUGUAGCGGUGAAAUGCGUAGAGAUCGGGAGGAAUACCAGUGGCGAAGGCGGCCUUCUGGACUGACACUGACACUGAGGUGCGAAAGCGUGGGUAGCAAACAGGAUUAGAUACCCUUGUAGUC
RNAcentral lists this ribosomal RNA (465 nucleotides) under Vreelandella stevensii. RNAcentral's name for it is "partial 16S ribosomal RNA". It matches the Rfam family "Bacterial small subunit ribosomal RNA", at positions 338 to 795 of the family's 1533-position model. The record is from RNAcentral. Lineage: Bacteria; Pseudomonadati; Pseudomonadota; Gammaproteobacteria; Oceanospirillales; Halomonadaceae.